Molecule: transfer-messenger RNA, 449 nt
Filed under: Patescibacteria group
Lineage: Bacteria
Also listed under: 1 other name
Description: UBA1545 sp003488655 Standard tmRNA
Rfam family: transfer-messenger RNA
About the family: Bacterial tmRNA, also known as 10Sa RNA or SsrA, is named for its dual tRNA and mRNA-like properties. Its role is to liberate the mRNA from a stalled ribosome.
Source: RNAcentral
GGGGAUGAUAUAGUAUUCUACUUGGAGACUUCGUCAUACUUUGUACCGCUAUCCGGGAGGUGCUUAUAACUUCCGCAAUCAAUAAUAAGCACCACAAUUGCUAACACUCGUGUUGCUAAGGGUCUUGUAGCUUUCAAGAAAGCUCUCGCUCCUUCUUUUAGCCCAGCUUUCGCUGCCUAAUCGAAAACCGUAGCCUCCUUUCGGGGAUGAGUGCCGGCUGGCCUGCUACAAAUCUGAGAAUGCAUCUAUCUCGUGCACCUCUUAUAUCUAGAGAUCUCUCCUCUCUGAACUUCUGAUACCUCUGGACAGAGAACGAGCAGUAUAUCCGGUCAUAUCCUCUCAAGCGUUUUUGAUUCUAUUCGAGCGAGAGAGUAUCCAAAAGAAUCUAUGAUAGUAGACGUCGAGGAUGACCUCUAAGGACAUGGGGGCGGUUCCCAUCAUCUCCACCA